Molecule: transfer RNA, 76 nt
Filed under: Priestia aryabhattai
Lineage: Bacteria; Bacillati; Bacillota; Bacilli; Caryophanales; Bacillaceae
Also listed under: 1 other name
Description: tRNA-Pro
Rfam family: tRNA
About the family: Transfer RNA (tRNA) molecules are approximately 80 nucleotides in length.
Source: RNAcentral
CGGGAAGUAGCUCAGCUUGGUAGAGCACUUGGUUUGGGACCAAGGGGUCGCAGGUUCGAAUCCUGUCUUCCGACCA